AUGUUAGACAUAUGAGGAGAAAAAAAUAAGUUGGCAUGGAGAGGUUGAUUUGGAUAAGAACAGAUUCUCCUGAUAAAGAAUAUUUUGAAAUCUAAUUUCAUCUUUUUUUAUCAAAACUAAAUUAGAUUUGAAUGUGAGAUAGAGAGGGAGAAGAAUUCUUUGUUGUGAAAAAAUUUCAUGCAAAAACUAUUUGUGCAUGGAGAUAGAUGGCAUGCAAAGUGGGUUGGCGCA
This 231-nucleotide long non-coding RNA is filed under the name Elaeis guineensis (African oil palm). RNAcentral's name for it is "long non-coding RNA (EGUI_LNC057364)". The record is from RNAcentral. Lineage: Eukaryota; Viridiplantae; Streptophyta; Magnoliopsida; Arecales; Arecaceae.